RNAcentral lists this ribosomal RNA (468 nucleotides) under uncultured bacterium. RNAcentral describes it as "partial 16S ribosomal RNA". It matches the Rfam family "Bacterial small subunit ribosomal RNA", at positions 28 to 507 of the family's 1533-position model. The record is from RNAcentral.
GACGAACGCUGGCGGCGUGCUUAACACAUGCAAGUCGAACGGAAAGGCCCUGCUUUUGUGGGGUGCUCGAGUGGCGAACGGGUGAGUAACACGUGAGUAACCUGCCCUUGACUUUGGGAUAACUUCAGGAAACUGGGGCUAAUACCGGAUAGGAGCUCCUGCUGCAUGGUGGGGGUUGGAAAGUUUCGGCGGUUGGGGAUGGACUCGCGGCUUAUCAGCUUGUUGGUGGGGUAGUGGCUUACAAAGGCUUUGACGGGUAGCCGGCCUGAGAGGGUGACCGGCCACAUUGGGACUGGGAUACGGCCCAGACUCCUACGGGAGGCAGCAGUGGGGAAUAUUGCACAAUGGGCGGAAGCCUGAUGCAGCAACGCCGCGUGCGGGAUGACGGCCUUCGGGUUGUAAACCGCUUUCGCCUGUGACGAAGCGUGAGUGACGGUAAUGGGUAAAGAAGCACCGGCUAACUACGUG